This 84-nucleotide microRNA precursor is filed under the name Bombyx mori (domestic silkworm). RNAcentral describes it as "mir-2807 microRNA precursor family". It matches the Rfam family "mir-2807 microRNA precursor family". Lineage: Eukaryota; Metazoa; Arthropoda; Insecta; Lepidoptera; Bombycidae. The record is from Rfam by way of RNAcentral.
UUAACUCAAAUUUGUAUGCAAUUGGAACAGCGCCCCUAGCGGCAAACGUAGGCAAACGUUCCAACUCCAUACAAAUAUUUGUUA